UUCUUGUAGCGGCGAUGUUGACGUUCAGCAAGGGUCAGACUGGACAGGUUAGUAUAUCAGACCUGGUAUUCUUGUAGUGGCGAUGUUGACGUUCAGCAAGGGUCAGACUGGACAGGUUAGUAUAUCAGACCUGGUAUUCUUGUAGUGGCAAUAUUGACGUUCAGCAAGGGUCAGACUGGACAGAUUAGUAUAUCAGACCUGGUAUUCUUGUAGUGGCGAUGUUGACGUUCAGCAAGGGUCAGACUGGACAGGUUAGUAUAUCAGACCUGGUAUUCUUGUAGCAGCGAUGUUGAUGUUCCGCAGGGGUCAGUCUUAGGUCCAGUACACUUUACGCUUUCCGUCAGCUGUCAACACUGCCGGCCUCUGUGAGUCCCCUGCCUUCCUCUGUAGCUCACUCCGCCCAUGACUGUGCGUGUACCUUACGUGUGGGCGUCUUCCCCUGCACCCCUUGGCCAUGCAUGCCUGUUUGUUUAUUUGGCUAGACUAACGCAUAGAAGGUGACGGCAAAGCUACAUGGUGCGAGGCGUCAGACGUAGAGAUUGACUGGGUUUGGUUCCCUAAGACUUGCCUCUAUGAAACUGAAGUCUGUUUCUUUAAUUAAACGUACCAGGCUCCCAUCAUGACUAUUCUCACAGCCCACAGAGAAGAGUAACCGGGUUUUCAUGGGUGUUUUCUCCCGUUCAUGGUGUGGAUGUCGUGUGGGGCUAUAACGAGACUCACAAAACAGUCCUUGAAAACCUCGGCAACUUCUUCUACAACAAGAGGCUUUUUGUGUAAGGGUUCCGAGGUGCCAAGACACUUAAGAACACGAGCUUCAAUGAGCCUAAAACAGUCCAUGAAAACCUCGGGAACUCUUCUACAACGGGAGGCUUUCUGACGUGCCGAGACAUUUUAGAACACGAGCUUCAGUGAGCCUAAAACACUCCAUGAAAACCUCAGGAACUCUUCUACAACGGGAGGGUUUUCAUGGAGGCUUUCCGAUGUGCUGAGACAUUUAAAAACAUGAGCUUCAAUGAGCCUUAAACAGUCCAUGAAAACCUCGGCAACUUCUUCUACAACGAGAGCAGCAUUACCAGAUUGUCGUACUAGGCAUACAUUUUUCGUCUACUUGAGGCCCAAAACUGUCGAGCCUAUACUGAUAAUGAUAUGCAUUUACAAUUAGAGUUCAGAUGGUUAAUUAUCGAUGUCUUUCUGCAAUUGUUAUGGAUCAGAAAUAGGAAAAUACGAUGUUCUGAGUAUGAUAAUUUGGUAACGCUGAACGGGAGGGUUUUCAUGGAGGCUUUCCGAGGUGCCGAGACAUUUAAAAACAUGAGCUAGUGAGCCUAAAACAGUCCAUGAAAACCUCGGCAACUCUUCUACAACGAGAGGAGGGUUUUCAUGCAGGCUUUCCAAGGUGCUGAGACAUUUUAGAACACGAGCUUCAAUGAGCCUAAAACAGUCCGUGAAGACCUCGGGAACUCUUCUACAACGAGAGGAGGGUUUUCAUGCAGGCUUUCCAAGGUGCCGAGACAUUUAAAAACACGAGCUUCAAUGAGCCUAAAACACUCCAUGAUAACCUCGGGAACUCUUCUACAACGGGAGGGUUUUCAUGCAAGCGUUCUGAGGUGCCGAGACAUUUAAGAACACAAGCUUCAAUGAGCCUAAAACACUCCAUGAAAACCUCGGGAACUCUUCUACAACGGGAGGCUUUUCAUGCAGGUGUUCCGAGGCGCUGAGACAUUUAAGAACACAAGCUUCAAUGAGCCUAAAACACUCCAUGAAAACCUCGGGAACUCUUCUAUAACGAGAGGGUUUUCAUGCAGGCGUUUCGAGGUGCCGAGACAUUUAAGAACACAAGCUUUUAACGAGCCUGACGCACCAUGGAGUUUUGGCCCCACGUGAAACUUCUGUACACUAAGGAUAAGAAGUGCUGUCAUGUAGCUUAAGCCUGGCCUGUGUCGAGGUAGUCAGCUUGAUGUGUAUUCUUGUGUAAGGCCGCUUGGUUAUUCAUUACAGUCCUACGUCCUUCCUUCCUCUGCCUGACCUUGUGUUAAGCCUGACCUUUUUUUUUUUUUACCUUUCUUUGAUAAAUUAAUGUGAUGUUUACUGGAUGUCGGCUGUGUGGGCUGGGCAGGUGUGUGUUUGACAGGUGUGUGUGUGUGUGUGUUUGCCCAGGUAAUAUACAGGUGUCCAGCAGGUGUGUGUGUGUGUUCGACAUAUGUGUGAUCCAUUCAUGUGUCUUAUUUUUCUGAUAGGUUUGUGUUCUGGUGAUGUUGGGAGUGGACUGUGUGUGUGUGCGUGUGUGUGUGCGCGUCCGCUAAACAUAUGUUGGUAAAUGCAAUGUUUAUCAAGGUUUCUGUGUUUUGUAAAUAAAUCAAGAGUAUGCGGUGUGUGUCUUGUUAGGGUGAAUUUACGAUAUGGGUGUGAGUCGCAGCAGUAAGGAUGUGUUAGCAGUUAUGUUAUGAGAGAGAGAGAGAGAGAGAGAGAGAGAGAGAGAGAGAGAGAGAGAGAGAGAGAGAGGACAGCAUCAGUACAUUCAGGUGAAACUAUAAUUAUGAAAGGAGUAACGGGAUGAGUAACAAGGGGUAUAUAGUUGUACUCCAAGCAUGUGAGCGACGUGACAGGUGUAGCAAUUUGAGGUGUAACAGAUUUAGCAGAAGAGGUGCAGUUGGCGUGCUGUACAUUCAAACAGGUGUAAGACAGGUGUGACAAGUGUACUAAUUGGUGUGGCAGGUAAAACAGCAGUGUCAGGUGUAACAGAUAUGGCAGGUGUAGCAGCAAGACCGUGACAUGAGUAAUAGCAGGUGUGUGUGUGUGGCAGGUGCAGCACAAGUGUUCACCUGGGUAGCAUGACUGUAACUGAGCUGGGCGUGUGUGUGUGUGACUCCAGGUGUGUGUCGGGGGGUUUAACAGGUGUGGUAAAUGGAGAGGAAGCAUUCGUUGUGUUGCCUGACUGUCACUGAGCCGGGCGUGUGUGUGACGGGUUUGACAGGUGUGGUAAAUGCAGUAGGAGUGUUCAGUGUGUUGUUAGAGUGUCGCUGAGCCUGGCAGGUGUGUGACAGGGGUUUGACAGGUGUGGUAAAUCCAGUGGGAGUGUUCAUUGUUUUGCUGGGCCGUCACUGAGCUGGCAGGUGUGUGACAGGUGUGGUAAAUGCAGUGGGAGUGUUCAUUGUUUUGCUGGGCCGUCACUGAGGUGGCAGGUGUGUGGCAGGGGUUUGACAGGUGUGGUAAAUGCAGUGGAAUUGUGUUGCUUGACCGUCACUGAGCCUGGUGUGUGUG
This is a long non-coding RNA of Eriocheir sinensis (Chinese mitten crab), 3258 nucleotides long. RefSeq lists it as uncharacterized. Lineage: Eukaryota; Metazoa; Arthropoda; Malacostraca; Decapoda; Varunidae. The transcript has 4 exons. The record is from RefSeq and is a predicted model, not a curated record.